RNAcentral lists this ribosomal RNA (253 nucleotides) under uncultured bacterium. RNAcentral describes it as "partial 16S ribosomal RNA". It matches the Rfam family "Bacterial small subunit ribosomal RNA", at positions 524 to 776 of the family's 1533-position model. The record is from RNAcentral.
UACGUAGGGUGCGAGCGUUAAUCGGAAUUACUGGGCGUAAAGCGUGCGCAGGCGGUUUUGUAAGCCAGAUGUGAAAGCCCGGGGCUCACCCCCGGAAGGGCAUUGGAAACUGGCGGACUCGAGUCUCGGAGAGGAAGGUGGAAUUCCUGGUGUAGCGGUGAAAUGCGUAGAUAUCAGGAGGAAUACCGGUGGCGAAGGCGGCCUUCUGGACGAUGACUGACGCUGAGACGCGAAAGCGUGGGGAGCAAACAGG